This 254-nucleotide ribosomal RNA is filed under the name uncultured bacterium. RNAcentral's name for it is "partial 16S ribosomal RNA". It matches the Rfam family "Bacterial small subunit ribosomal RNA", at positions 524 to 776 of the family's 1533-position model. The record is from RNAcentral.
UACGUAGGGUGCGAGCGUUGUUCGGAAUUAUUGGGCGUAAAGCGCACGUAGGCGGCCGGGUAAGUCUCACUGUGAAAGCCCGGGGCUCAACCCCGGGAGGCCAGGGGAUACUGCUCGGCUGGAGACAGGCAGAGGCUGGUAGAAUUCCGGGUGUAGCGGUGGAAUGCGUAGAGAUCCGGAGGAAUACCUGAGGCGAAGGCGGCCAGCUGGGCCUGAUCUGACGCUGAGGUGCGAAAGCGUGGGGAGCGAACAGG